RNAcentral lists this ribosomal RNA (459 nucleotides) under Fusarium oxysporum f. sp. lycopersici. Its description in RNAcentral is "eukaryotic LSU rRNA". The stretch from base 116 to 269 matches the Rfam family "5.8S ribosomal RNA". Lineage: Eukaryota; Fungi; Ascomycota; Sordariomycetes; Hypocreales; Nectriaceae. The record is from RNAcentral.
ACCACUUGUUGCCUCGGCGGAUCAGCCCGCUCCCGGUAAAACGGGACGGCCCGCCAGAGGACCCCUAAACUCUGUUUCUAUAUGUAACUUCUGAGUAAAACCAUAAAUAAAUCAAAACUUUCAACAACGGAUCUCUUGGUUCUGGCAUCGAUGAAGAACGCAGCAAAAUGCGAUAAGUAAUGUGAAUUGCAGAAUUCAGUGAAUCAUCGAAUCUUUGAACGCACAUUGCGCCUGCCAGUAUUCUGGCGGGCAUGCCUGUUCGAGCGUCAUUUCAACCCUCAAGCACAGCUUGGUGUUGGGACUCGCGUUAAUUCGCGUUCCCCAAAUUGAUUGGCGGUCACGUCGAGCUUCCAUAGCGUAGUAGUAAAACCCUCGUUACUGGUAAUCGUCGCGGCCACGCCGUUAAACCCCAACUUCUGAAUGUUGACCUCGGAUCAGGUAGGAAUACCCGCUGAACUU